GUAUCUUUCCACUUUCCCCCUACUCCUGAAUGUCUAAAGAACUCUCAAUGCAUAUUAGCCAUCACCAUGGUUGAGACCCAGACCUCUGCAGAGACAAUCUUGAUCCUCUGGCUCCUGCUUCACAUUGCCCAUUCACCCUCAGCACUGAAAUCCUUACCUCAAGCGCUGGGAAUUCAGGCCAUGGAAGAUUAGGAGGCUCACAGCAGAUGUGAUCCUGACACCCAGAGAUGCUAAGCCCAAAUGCCCUCAGAAGUCAGGCAGGGAAGGAGAAUAUGUGGAGUAACAUCGUCGUGAUUGGUAUAUGCAAAGACCUCCUGAAAUUACAGGAGCAAACUCCUUCCGCAUCUCGACCUAAUUAAGAUCCGUUACUCAACAGUGAUCAGUCAGAUUUUACUGUAAGAAGGAAGAAAACAAGGAUCCUGCUAGAACAACAUGGAAACAGGACCUACAACAAAGAGAUUUCUCACUGGCUUCCUGGUGGUUCAUUCAAUAGGGAAUUCCUGCAGCAAGUUGGAGGGAGGGAGGAGAAGCAGGGAGGCCACCUCCUGUCAAAGCUGGGACAUCUGAGAGACAGUGGUCACACAACAACUCAACUGCAUGUGCACCUAAAACACACUGAUUCCAUGAACAGAGAUUCAUGCCACUGUGUAGUCUGCAACAAAACAUUGAAGAUGGUUUCCAAUAUCCAGAUGGACAGGCUGACCAUGAGUGCAAAUCUUCUUGUCCUUAGGAAAAAAAACUUCAAAGGGUAGACAACAGCCAAAUACCGAUCAACGGCAAUGCAGGAAAGACACACACAGAGAUCCAAUAUUGGCUGGAAUGCUGACUAUAAUCACAAAGAUGUAAACAAUGGGAAACAAAUAGUGAUCCAGGUCAUGCUGUUCUUCAAUACAUGUGCUGUUCAUUUUUUCCUUUUUAAGGGUGGAUGUAGAUCAAUUUUUACA
Molecule: long non-coding RNA, 944 nt
Filed under: Homo sapiens (human)
Lineage: Eukaryota; Metazoa; Chordata; Mammalia; Primates; Hominidae
Description: HSALNT0378492
Source: RNAcentral